CGCACGACUCUCGACAACGGAUAUCUCGGCUCUCGCAUCGAUGAAGAACGUAGCGAAAUGCGAUACKUGGUGUGAAUUGCAGAAUCCCGUGAAYCAUCGAGUCUUUGAACGCAAGUUGCGSCCGAAGCCAKGCUAAGGGCASGUCUGCCUGGGCGUCACGC
This 161-nucleotide ribosomal RNA is filed under the name Drosophyllum lusitanicum. Its description in RNAcentral is "5.8S ribosomal RNA". The record is from RNAcentral. Lineage: Eukaryota; Viridiplantae; Streptophyta; Magnoliopsida; Caryophyllales; Drosophyllaceae.